This 1332-nucleotide long non-coding RNA is filed under the name Papio anubis (olive baboon). Its description in RNAcentral is "lncRNA (ENSPANG00000048026.1)". The record is from RNAcentral. Lineage: Eukaryota; Metazoa; Chordata; Mammalia; Primates; Cercopithecidae.
GACAUUUUAAUUACAACCUCUGAAUCAGGAAACGCACCUCAGUUUUAUACAGGAAUUGAAGGAAUGCUCCUCAAAGGCCAGAAAGGAGAGAUUACUACCACAGCAUGCACACAGGUCAAUAUUCCAAAUUCAGCCUUCAAUUGUUCUUUUCGAAUCACCAGGGAAACCUCCCUCCUUCCAUCAGGACACUGCAGGCAAUUUGUAUGAGCAUUGGCUGACGGAAUUGAUAAACCUGAAGAUAAAUGAGCUUAACUAGGGAUUUAUAAUUGACUGAUGAUUAAACUAAGGUAUGUUUUGGGGAUUUCUGGAUUUGUGUAUGUGUGUGUAAACCUGCACUUUGUGGAUUAACGUGAUGCAGCUACACUUAAAGGCAGAAAUUAGUUAAUGAGGUAGAAAGACUUAGAGGGUCCCAAACUGAGUAAGGUUUCCAUGUUAGCUUAUACCCCAUGCUAGCUGAACAAAACCAGAUCUCAUCCCAGUGUGGAAAUGGGCAUUUAGGACUUCCUAAAUAUUGAUGUGAUGUGUGUGGUAGCUCCUUUUUGGCUCUCUUUGCUAAUUAUUGGCAAAGUUUGGUGUAGGGUCAAAUUUGUAUUUUGUGUGAGUUGAUUGACCAUUUGUCCUUUGGUGCUCCUGCACCCCCUCAUCCUCGCUCUUGUCCUUUUGUGGGGUUUUUUUUUUUUCUCUCUCUAUGAGAAAAUGUGUACAGAGACCUUCAGCAGAUACAGGUGGAGAGACUCAGCCUAAUUCUUCUGACCUCCUAAUGUCAUUCUGCCUUUUAGAUUCUUAAGUAUAAAAAUUUUUCCCAAAUAAAAAUUGAUAAGAAGUGUAAUUUCAUUAGCAGAAGUUUAUUGUAGACUUUACUUGUUAGGGUUUUAAAGAUAGGGUCACAAAUUCUUUCAUCCUCUUUCCUUCAAAAAGUGGAGUUUAAUGCUCCUUCCCUUGGAUGUGGACCAGACUUAGUGAUUCACUUUCAACAGAGAAUGUGGCAAAAAUGAUGCUGUAUUUCUUCCAAAGCUAGGUUGCAGAGAGGAUGCAGCUCCUGCCCGGUUGCUCUUAUUCUUAUAUUGCCCACACUGGGGCAGACCGGUUACUACGCUGUAAAAAAACUCAAGUAGUCUUGUGGAGGGACAGUUUUUCAUAGGGAGAAAAACCGAGGCCUCCUGCUGAAAACCAGCACCAGCAUGCCAUGAGAGUGAGCAACCUGGGAAGCAGAUCCCUCAGUGUCAGUCAAGCUUUCAAUGACUGCAGCCCUGGCCCUCAUCAGACUACAAUCUUAUGAUAGGCGUCAGGCCAUAACCACCCAGUCAAGCUGCUUCUGAAUUCCUGACCCUC